Long non-coding RNA from Cryptomeria japonica (Japanese cedar), 778 nucleotides. RefSeq lists it as uncharacterized. The record is from RefSeq and is a predicted model, not a curated record. NCBI's taxonomy places the organism in Eukaryota, Viridiplantae, Streptophyta, Pinopsida, Cupressales, Cupressaceae. The transcript is spliced from 5 exons.
ACUAAAAAUAGCCGUAGAGAAAGCAGUACCUAUAAUAUAAAGGAACAAGGUGGCGGAGGCUUGUUGAAAUUCCACGUUCUCUGUAGAAUUCCUAUAAGAAAGACACAGUUAGGGUUUAUGUGAGCUACGUGUUUAAGAGUUGAAGUGCAGCAAUCCUCCAGUCUAGCAGAGGCAAACUGUACUAUUAUCCGAGACAAGGGCAAACUAUUUGCCAUUAGUAGCAGGCGGAAAGAAAUAUGGUGCUGGCUCGGUCCUAAGAAAGACGACGAUAGAGACGAGGAAGCUGAUUACUGUCACUUUCAUGGCAUUGAAAAGGGAGCAGUCAUGCAGGAAGUUUGAGUGUUCAAAUAUCCUCAACUGGAAUGCGAGAUGCUGUCCACAAAUUUGCACCUGGAGGAUUUCCUAGAUAAGAAAAUUUGGUUGAACCUACAGAACGUUUCUUUGCUGUCACUAAGCUUUUCCAGUCCAAGGAUACUGGUUUGAGAAGAAUAGUUUAUUUGAUCACCAAGGAGCUUUCUCCUUCUUUUGAUGAGGGCCAAUGCAAUACGAGUUUAAUGCAGAAUCACAGAUGGCACAUUGUUGUGUCAAAUUGAGGGAUAUCUAAAACAAGGCGUUAUUGAUAAAAAGCCUGUUGUAGCCAGUGCUGCUCUUGUCAAUAGAAUUCACUUGCUUCAGACCACUCCAGAUAUUGUCAAAUGCUGGAGUGGUGAGGUCCAAAAAGUAGUUCAGUCCCAAGCUGCUCUUCUACAAUUUCAUGCAUUAGCCUUGCUUCAGCAGG